AUGGCUGCUUCAUCCCUCGUGUCCACGUUGGCCACCCUGCUGCUCUGACCCGCACAGAACUGCUGCCUCUGUCACUGUCCACUCCAUUUCUCAGCUUUUCAAAAUGAAGCUGUUGUCAUUUCUGGAAGGAAACUUGCCCAGCAGAUCAAGCAGGAAGUGCGGCAGGAGGGGGAAGAGUGGGUGGCAGCCGGCAACAAACGGUCAUACCUGAGCGUGGUUCUGGCUGGGGAGAAUCCUACAAGUCAUUACUCUGUCCUCAACAAAACCAAGGCUGCUGCAGAUGUGGGAAUCAACAGUGAGACAAUUGUGAAACCUGCUUCAAUUUCAGAGGAAGAACUGUUGAACUUAAUCAAUAAACUAAAUAACGAUGAUAACGUCGAUGGCCUCCUUGUUCAGCUGCUGCUUCCUGAGCACAUAGAUGAGAGGAAGAUCUGCAUCACUGUUUCUCCAGACAAGGAUGUUGAUGGCUUCCAUGUAAUCAACGUGGGGCGAAUGUGUUUGGACCAGUAUUCCAUGUUACCGGCUACCCCCUGGGGUAUGUGGGAGAUCAUUAAGCGCACUGGCAUUCCGACCCUAGGGAAGAAUGUGGUUGUAGCUGGAAGGUCCCAAAAUGUUGGGAUGCCCAUUGCAAUGUUGCUGCACACAGACAGGGUGCAUGAACAUCCUGGAGGUGAUGCCACUGUUACAAUAUCGCAUCAAUACACCCCCAAAGAGCAGCUGAAAACACAUACCAUUCUUGCAGAUAUUGUGAUCUCUGCUGCAGGCAUUCCAAAUUUGAUCACAGCAGAUAUGAUCAAGGAAGGAGCAGCCGUCAUUGGUGUGGGAAUAAAUAGAAUUCAGGAUCCUAUCACUGCUAAACCCAAGUUGGUUGGAGAUGUGGAUUUUGAAGAAGUCUGGAAAAAAGCCGGUUACAUCACUACAGUCCCUGGGGGUGUUGGUCCCAUGACAGUGGCGAUGCUAAUGAAGAAUACCCUUAUCGCUGCAAAAAAGGUGCUGAGGCUUGAAGACCAGGUGGUACUGAAGUCUAAAGAGAUUGGAGUGGCAACUAAUUAACUAGUCUGUCUUCUGGGUCAUGAACGGUACUCCAAGCCAGUUCAGGAGGCAAAACAGGCCAAUAGAAAUGCAGCAUCUCUUAUUUAUUCUACUGACAUGGUUUUAAACAAUGCUUUGUAUUUAUUGAAAGCUUAAGUGGGUGGAUGCUUGUGCACAUAACUCUCCCCAGUAUCUCACCAGGGAUCAUGCCAUUAUUAUGCUGGGUCAUGUGAUCUGGCCAUAAGAGGAGCCAUUAGCCUGGUGAUUGCAUGGGGGACACUCCCAUUGAGAAGGGCUGCUUUACUUUGUCAGACCACUUCAGUUACCAAUUGCCUUUUCCAGGAUUGCAUUUCCCAAGUGCUAUUCCAAUAAGAGUUGAUACUCACUUCAGGUUCCAAACCUUUUGAGCUCAACUGGUCAAACCAAAGGAAAAAUGUUGCUAGAGAAAAUUAGAGAAAAGGUACAAAAGAAGAAAUGAUAGUAAUUUGAGUAGAAAAAAUUUACCCUAAUUU
This is an RNA transcript of Myotis davidii, 1544 nucleotides long. It is a transcript of the gene named bifunctional methylenetetrahydrofolate dehydrogenase/cyclohydrolase, mitochondrial pseudogene, with no coding region annotated. Lineage: Eukaryota; Metazoa; Chordata; Mammalia; Chiroptera; Vespertilionidae. The transcript has a single exon. The record is from RefSeq and is a predicted model, not a curated record.